UGGGGAUAUUGCACAAUGGGGGGAAACCCUGAUGCAGCGACGCCGCGUGGAGGAAGAAGGUUUUCGGAUUGUAAACUCCUGUCGUUAGGGACGAUAAUGACGGUACCUAACAAGAAAGCACCGGCUAACUACGUGCCAGCAGCCGCGGUAAAACGUAGGGUGCAAGCGUUGUCCGGAAUUACUGGGUGUAAAGGGAGCGCAGGCGGACCGGCAAGUUGGAAGUGAAAACUAUGGGCUCAACCCAUAAAUUGCUUUUGAAACUGUCAGGCUUGAGUGCAGGAGAGGAAAGCGGAAUUCCUAGUGUAG
Molecule: ribosomal RNA, 306 nt
Filed under: uncultured Gemmiger sp.
Lineage: Bacteria; Bacillati; Bacillota; Clostridia; Eubacteriales; Oscillospiraceae
Description: bacterial SSU rRNA
Rfam family: Bacterial small subunit ribosomal RNA
Source: RNAcentral